GACGAACGCUGGCGGCGUGCUUAACACAUGCAAGUCGAACGGAAAGGCCCUGCUUUUGUGGGGUGCUCGAGUGGCGAACGGGUGAGUAACACGUGAGUAACCUGCCCUUGACUUUGGGAUAACUUCAGGAAACUGGGGCUAAUACCGGAUAGGAGCUCCUGCUGCAUGGUGGGGGUCGGAAAGUUUCGGCGGUUGGGGAUGGACUCGCGGCUUAUCAGCUUGUUGGUGGGGUAGUGGCUUACCAAGGCUUUGACGGGUAGCCGGCCUGAGAGGGUGACCGGCCACAUUGGGACUGAGAUACGGCCCAGACUCCUACGGGAGGAAGCAGUGGGGAAUAGUGCACAAUGGGCGGAAGCCUGAGGCAGCAACGCCGCGUGCGGGAUGACGGCCUUCGGGUUGUAAACCGCUUUCGCCUGUGACGAAGCGUGAGUGACGGUAAUGGGUAAAGAAGCACCGGCUAACUACGUG
RNAcentral lists this ribosomal RNA (468 nucleotides) under uncultured bacterium. RNAcentral's name for it is "partial 16S ribosomal RNA". It matches the Rfam family "Bacterial small subunit ribosomal RNA", at positions 28 to 507 of the family's 1533-position model. The record is from RNAcentral.